This 1545-nucleotide long non-coding RNA is filed under the name Paramuricea clavata. Lineage: Eukaryota; Metazoa; Cnidaria; Anthozoa; Malacalcyonacea; Plexauridae. The record is from RNAcentral.
GUUUUAAAAUUAAACUAGUUCUAGUAAAUAUUCUAGCAAGUCUCGUUUGUUUUAUUUGUUCUUCGUUCUUCGGAGGGACUAUAAAGAAAUCCCAGAUUUGUCGAAUGUGUCUGGGUGAUACAUAAUGGCAAAAACACGUCGUGUAAACAAAUAGAUAUAAAAGUAAACAAAGAUGUUGGACUAAAGAUCGGAUAAACAGUUGUGACUUGAUCAACAAUGGAGGGAUGGAAUACGAGUCAACCAGGUAACCAAGACAAUGGUAUGCUAGUAGAUCUACAGUAUAUGCCUACCCAUUCGUUGUAUAUAUCCAUAAAAAUCAAUUAUGAAAAAAGCCAAUCAUCAAAUUAUCGAAAUCAAUGAAUAGUAACUAAGUACAUGCUAUCAAUAUUUAUGCAAUUCCAGCUUUUAGUUUAUGCGUGCAGGGGGUGACGGGAAGUAAGGUAUCAUAUUGCUGAUUCAGCCGUUCUGCAUGUUGUAACCAAUAAUAUAUUGGCAUUGUAAUGCCAUUGUAUGCAAUAAAGUAUUGGGUUGUAAUGGGUCUACAAUUAAUCCAAAUGCUAAUCCAAACCCUAACCUCUAACCCCCACCUCCUAACCCCCACCUCCUAACCCCCACCUCCUAACCCCCACCUCCUAACCCCAAAGUUGAUGACCUUUUUUUUCUUUUCAGUAUUUGCCCCACCCCACCAACCUUCGUUCUUGGCCAACCUCCGUUCGGCCAAUUACAUUUAUAACUAAAACUUUUGUCCAAUGCUUGUGGUUUUGUCUUCAGUCACAACCCGACACUUUAUUGCAUACAAUGGCAUCACAAUGCCAAUAGAUUAUUGGUCAAUGCCAAUAGAUUAUUGGUUACAACGUGCAGAACGGGUGGCUGAUUACGCUGAAAAAAAUAAAACUGGCGGCCGUGUAAACACAGAGUGACAGCUUAUACUUGUAAAUAUUGAAAUUUCUCGGUUGUUUCGGCAGUUUUUAUUGAAAUUUUUCAGCCUGAUCAGCAAUAUGAUACCUUACUUCCCGUCAUCCCCUGCAUGCAUAAACUAAAAGACGGUUGAAAAAUUUUGUACAUCAAUUUUUAUAUUGAUUGUUAUUGAUUGUUGUCGAUUCUUUGAAAUUUUACUUGUAGAUUGUAGGUGUUGCUGAUUUGUUUCUAAUAAACCAAUGUAAAUGACGGGCAGCAAAUCUGAUACCAAUCAAUACAAAUGCCUUAAUUUUGUCAGCUGCAUUGCAGAUUGAGAUAUGUAAUUGUGAUGUGAUCUAACAGCGGGCAAAUUGGGCCAUUUUAACAAAGAAUUCACCUGAAUUUGCUUGUGCUUUGCAUUAGCCAGAAUGCCAGAUAGUUAAUAAUCAUUUCACCCAAUAUGUACAGAUCUUUUUCCAUAAUGCAGAUCGAAGGUUGCAGCCGAUAAAGUUUUCCAAGAAAAGAUCAAAGAAAAUCCUACCAACCAUAUCAGAGAAAUGGAAGAAAGAAUUUGCAGGCCUGGCUGGGGUGAUUGUCUUUUUUGUGAUUGUAAUAUGGUUUAGACAGUUUUAUUGUGAUUUGGGUGCG